RNAcentral lists this ribosomal RNA (398 nucleotides) under bacterium enrichment culture. RNAcentral's name for it is "bacterial SSU rRNA". It matches the Rfam family "Bacterial small subunit ribosomal RNA", at positions 521 to 916 of the family's 1533-position model. The record is from RNAcentral.
UGAUACGUAGGGUGCGAGCGUUGUCCGGAUUUAUUGGGCGUAAAGAGCUUGUAGGCGGUUAGUCGCGUCGUAAGUGCAAACUCAGGGCUUAACCCUGAGCCUGCUUUCGAUACGGGCUGACUAGAGGAAGGUAGGGGAGAAUGGAAUUCCCGGUGGAGCGGUGGAAUGCGCAGAUAUCGGGAGGAACACCAGUGGCGAAGGCGGUUCUCUGGACCUUUCCUGACGCUGAGAAGCGAAAGCGUGGGGAGCAAACAGGCUUAGAUACCCUGGUAGUCCACGCCGUAAACGGUGGGUACUAGGUGUGGGGGACAUUCCACGUUCUCUGUGCCGUAGCUAACGCAUUAAGUACCCCGCCUGGGGAGUACGGCCGCAAGGCUAAAACUCAAAGGAAUUGACGG